UCAUGGCUUGCUUGGUGGGAAUAACCGAUACCCCUGUGGGGCUGGAAGCGUGGAAGAGAAAGAGGAGGCCAAAGGAGACGACAGAUAACUCUUGCCACACCUAUCCUGUGUCAGGCAGCUUGAUAAUGACCAAGGCCACGAGGCAGAUCCCACUCUGGUAAACUCCCAGUUCUCGGGUCAGUAGAGGGCGAAUGCUCGGUUCCGUCUUUCCCGCAGCCUGUGUUCACACUCAAGGGAUGUUUCCAGCAGGUCUUGCCUUUACACAUCAUCCACGUGCAGCUGUGUUUUCUGGAUGAGGCCGUGGGGAGCCGGUUUAUGCCAGAUGCUCCCGCCUGACACCCAGAGUCUCGCCUUCUGUCUUGUUUGCCAAGAGAACAGGCAAAGGCAGCUUUCACGUCCAGGGACCUCUUUUCCUGCCUCCCUAACACUAGCCUUCUAAAAAAUUCAUCAAGAAAUCAAAAUAAAAUCAAUGCCUUGCACGCCG
Non-coding RNA from Sus scrofa (pig), 484 nucleotides. Lineage: Eukaryota; Metazoa; Chordata; Mammalia; Artiodactyla; Suidae. The record is from RefSeq and is a predicted model, not a curated record.